AAGGUCAAGCUCAAUUUCCCCUUGCUGUGCCAGCUUCAUGAUGAGCUCCUUUAUGACGAAGCGCUUGUAUUCAGGCAGCUCGAUUACUUUCUUCUCCAACAGGUCGUUGGUGGUAAUAAAAGCACACCACAAAGUAGCACACAAUAAUCCUAUUAAUUUUCCUUUUUAACACUAAGAUUUGACAAUUGUAGCAUAUGAAAAUAAGGGUCUUUCCCGCAGAAGAUUGUUUUAUCCAAAUACUUAAAAUGUCACAAAAACAGGGUGGCCGUCUCCACUGACCAGCCACCGAACAAUAAUUAUUAUACUAACUUACACUUAUCCAAAUACAACGCAAUUUUAUACACAUAAACUAGACACAACAAGCUAUGCUCACACAAAUUUUUGGGAUUUUUGGAAUUGAUUUGCUAUUUAAAUUAAAUCGUACAAAAACAGUACAGAAACCGAUUUUAAAUAAUACCAAUAGAUUUUAAUUCACAAGUUAAGAAAAUGAGUUAGGGGACAUGCUAUCCACCACCAAAUAAUCAUGCAAGUAUGUUAUGUUUCAUUCAAAUCCCUUUUAUUUCCGGAUGAAGAUGCUCAAGUUGGCUCAAUGUUAGAACACAACCUAUUACUCUUUCUUACGUAGUAUGUUAAGAGAAUGGCGUUUUCAACUUAACUUAGUUCCUAACAUGCAAUCUAGAAUGGCAUGUUCAUAGAUUUAACAAGUAGAAAUCAUUAAGAAUAAAAAGAGUUUGAGUCAUCAUAAGGCAUCGUAAGUACUGGUGUUGUCUUACUUAUCCUAGAAAUCGUUUCCCAUGUUAACCACAAUUAACAAGUGCUACUCUAGAACAUAUGUAGGUUCUCAUUCAACAAGGGCAGGCAGACAUAUAUUCAUAGCAUUAAAAUCCUAGAUAUGCUCACUAUGUAUGCAUCCAUAGAAACACAUAAAGAAUUUAUCAAUGACAUAAGUAGUGAAACAAUUUUCAUCCUUUCAUAAAAGUCAUUCAAACAAAAUAUCACAACAACCUUACAAUCAUAUUCGGGGCUUCAAAACAGCCCCUAACUACUAAAAAUUAGUUACACAUCAUUAUCAAAUUAAACCAAAAGUAAAAUAUAAGUUUGGAAAGAUUUAACCGAGAGAGAAGGCAGCUUGCUGCUUCUGUCUGUGCCCUUCUCGUACUGCAAGGCAGCUUGCUGAUUCCUCUCUUGCGCACUGCCUAUCUCUGCUUCUAUUUGCUUCGCACGUCAGUCUCUCUCUCCCCCUCGGUUUCUGCCUCUCUUUCUCUUUUCCGCUGUCUAUAUAUAUAUAUAUUUUUUUUGCUCCUGUUUUUCUGCGCCCCUGCGCCAGCCUUCUUUUUCUUUCCAAUCAGCCUUCCUCUCUCUGUUUCCCGUCUCCCAUGCUCUCCGUGUCUGCCCUCUCUUUAUUUCCCCGCUCUUUUAUUUUUCUUUUCUGCUUGCCAUGCUGUUUUCUGCUUUUCUCGCUGGUUUUUGUAUUGCUGUCAUGCACUCCUUCUUUCUUCCACUAGUCCAUGUCCUCCCACUUAUUCUUUUAUUUAUUAUUCUUCCUUGCCACAGAAGAAUGCCAUCAGCCCUUUUUCCUUUCUCAUGUUCUCGACAUAGCAACCUGUCAAACACUCACAAAUUUCACGAUCAG
RNAcentral lists this long non-coding RNA (1633 nucleotides) under Malus domestica (apple). Its description in RNAcentral is "long non-coding RNA (MDOM_LNC001949)". The record is from RNAcentral. Lineage: Eukaryota; Viridiplantae; Streptophyta; Magnoliopsida; Rosales; Rosaceae.